This 477-nucleotide ribosomal RNA is filed under the name uncultured bacterium. Its description in RNAcentral is "partial 16S ribosomal RNA". It matches the Rfam family "Bacterial small subunit ribosomal RNA", at positions 30 to 507 of the family's 1533-position model. The record is from RNAcentral.
AUUGAACGCUGGCGGCAUGCCUUACACAUGCAAGUCGAACGGUAACAGGUUAAGCUGACGAGUGGCGAACGGGUGAGUAAUGUAUCGGAACGUGCCCAGUCGUGGGGGAUAACUGCUCGAAAGAGCAGCUAAUACCGCAUACGACCUGAGGGUGAAAGCGGGGGAUCGCAAGACCUCGCGCGAUUGGAGCGGCCGAUAUCAGAUUAGGUAGUUGGUGAGGUAAAGGCUCACCAAGCCGACGAUCUGUAGCUGGUCUGAGAGGACGACCAGCCACACUGGGACUGAGCCACGGCCCAGACUCCUACGGGAGGCAGCAGUGGGGAAUUUUGGACAAUGGGCGCAAGCCUGAUCCAGCCAUGCCGCGUGCGGGAAGAAGGCCUUCGGGUUGUAAACCGCUUUUGUCAGGGAAGAAAAGGUUCUGGCUAAUACCUGGGACUCAUGACGGUACCUGAAGAAUAAGCACCGGCUAACUACGUG